GACAAGAAAUAACAAUACGGGGCUUUCGUCUUGUAAUUGGAAUGAUGGUGAUGUACAACCUCACCAGAGCACCAAUUGGAGGGCAAGUCUGGUGCCAGCAGCCGCGGUAAUUCCAGCUCCAAUAGCGUAUAUUAAACUUGUUGCAGUUAAAAAGCUCGUAGUUGUAUUUCAGCCUCGCGUUUUUUCCCUGGUUUUGGGUCUUUUCGCUGGCUUUUUUUUUACUUUGAGAAAAUUAGAGUGUUUCAAGCAGACUUUUGUCUUGAAUACUUCAGCAUGGAAUAAUAGAGUAGGACCUUGGUUCUAUUUUGUUGGUUUUGAGCCUUGGUAAUGGUUAAUAGGAACGGUUGGGGGCAUUCGUAUUUAACUGUCAGAGGUGAAAUUCUUAG
Molecule: ribosomal RNA, 386 nt
Filed under: Babesia bigemina
Lineage: Eukaryota; Apicomplexa; Aconoidasida; Piroplasmida; Babesiidae
Description: partial 18S ribosomal RNA
Rfam family: Eukaryotic small subunit ribosomal RNA
Source: RNAcentral